This 255-nucleotide ribosomal RNA is filed under the name uncultured bacterium. RNAcentral describes it as "partial 16S ribosomal RNA". It matches the Rfam family "Bacterial small subunit ribosomal RNA", at positions 524 to 773 of the family's 1533-position model. The record is from RNAcentral.
UACGAGUGCCCCCCAAGCGUUAUCCGGAAUCAUUGGGCGUAAAGGGUGUGUAGGUGGUUAUGUUAGUCUUUUGUUAAAAUACUCCGGGCUUAACUCGGAAACCGCGAAAGAAACGGCAUGACUAGAGGGUGCGAGGGGUCUGUGGAACUCAUGGAGUAGGGGUGAAAUCCGUUGAUAUCAUGGGGAACACCAAAAAGCGAAGGCAGCAGACUGGCGCAUUCCUGACACUGAGACACGAAAGCGUGGGUAGCGAAU